GGCGUGCCGGUGGUGGUCGAUCGUCUCACCGGUGAGCGCAGAAUGGCGCAGAUCUUCGUCGCCGUGCUCGGCGCCUCGAGCUUUACCUACGCGCAGGCGACGUGGACGCAGGGGCUCGCCGACUGGAUCAGCGCUCAUGUUGGCGCCUUCGCGGCGAUCGGCGGCAUACCGGCGCUGCUGGUGCCUGACAACACCAAGGUCGCGGUCAUCAAGGCGAGCCUGUACGACCCGCAGAUCAAUCGGACCUAUGCGGAG
Molecule: unclassified non-coding RNA, 255 nt
Filed under: Hevea brasiliensis (rubber tree)
Lineage: Eukaryota; Viridiplantae; Streptophyta; Magnoliopsida; Malpighiales; Euphorbiaceae
Source: RNAcentral